GUCUCUGUAGUACAAUGGAUAGUGCGUUGGACUUCUGAUCCAAAGGUAGAGUUCGAAUCUCUCCUGGGACG
Molecule: non-coding RNA, 71 nt
Organism: Trichonephila clavipes
Lineage: Eukaryota; Metazoa; Arthropoda; Arachnida; Araneae; Nephilidae
Source: the annotation of a GenBank genome assembly